AUGGACCAAUCCAUCCCUUUUUCCCGUGCAUAUGCAUCGGACUCGGAUGACGAUGGUCCCGAUGAAGAAGUUGAUGAGGAGGGGUUCACGCCGAAGGAGGCCGAAGCAUUAAAGAAGGUAUUCGGGUGGGAUCACAAGACACCAUUGUUCAAGGAUCUUAGUCUCGCGGAUGAAGCCGUUGUGGAUGGUGGCAAAUGCAUAUCUCUUGGAGCUAGGCCAAGUUCUCAC
Molecule: ribosomal RNA, 228 nt
Filed under: Triticum aestivum (bread wheat)
Lineage: Eukaryota; Viridiplantae; Streptophyta; Magnoliopsida; Poales; Poaceae
Description: partial small subunit ribosomal RNA
Source: RNAcentral